Molecule: non-coding RNA, 555 nt
Organism: Rattus norvegicus (Norway rat)
Lineage: Eukaryota; Metazoa; Chordata; Mammalia; Rodentia; Muridae
Source: RefSeq, a predicted model, not a curated record
UUAGAAUGUGGGUAUGGAUGUUAUUGGCUCUAUGCAGAAUACAUGAAGCUUAAAUGUGCAGUCUUGUCCAGUUUUACCUGGUUAAACCCCAGCAGGUGUACUGAGGCUCUGCUUAGCUUGUGCUGAUAGUUUAGGAGUGAUAUCUACUCUUGUCUACUUUCUAUCUCCUUGGUUUUGGACCAAAUCCUCCCUCUGGUCAUUUCCCUAGAUCCCACCCUCGUCAUCUGUUCCACACAAGAUACUUGGUCGCUCACCAUUUUCUGAAGAUGCCUUGGAAACCUGUCCACUUCUGAGACCAAGGAGACACAACAAAAGCUGGGGAUGGUGACUUGGCCAAAUGAGGAAAGGUCACUCCUGAGCCCAGAACUCUGCUACGAUGAAGACCGACGCCUAACAAUCGACCCUUUGUGUCCAUAAACCUGACGGUAUCAGAAGGAGUGAAGAAAACUGGGAAUACAAUUUCCUCGGGGUCAUUUCAAUGUUCUGUAAACUCUAGGAAUGUGCUUUGCUUUUAUCGUUUUGCUUUCAAGAAAACGAGUUAUACGAUUUCAGUAA